GUGGGGAAUAUUGGACAAUGGGCGAAAGCCUGAUCCAGCCAUGCCGCGUGUGUGAAGAAGGUCUUCGGAUUGUAAAGCACUUUAAGUUGGGAGGAAGGGCAGUAAGUUAAUACCUUGCUGUUUUGACGUUACCGACAGAAUAAGCACCGGCUAACUUCGUGCCAGCAGCCGCGGUAAUACGAAGGGUGCAAGCGUUAAUCGGAAUUACUGGGCGUAAAGCGCGCGUAGGUGGUUUUGUAAGUUGGAGGUGAAAUCCCCGGGCUCAACCUGGGAACUGCCUCCAAAACUGCAUGACUAGAGUACGGUAGAGGGUAGUGGAAUUUCCUGUGUAGCGGUGAAAUGCGUAGAUAUAGGAAGGAACACCAGUGGCGAAGGAGACUACCUGGACUGAUACUGACAAUGAGGUGCGAAAGCGUGGGGAGCAAACAGGAUUAGAUACCCUUGUAGUCC
This 450-nucleotide ribosomal RNA is filed under the name uncultured bacterium. Its description in RNAcentral is "partial 16S ribosomal RNA". It matches the Rfam family "Bacterial small subunit ribosomal RNA", at positions 354 to 796 of the family's 1533-position model. The record is from RNAcentral.